CCAGUACCAACAACCUGCCCUCUAGCCUUCCUCCACUUUCACCUAGCCGCCCCAGGCAAACGUGCCUUUCGCAGACUAGAUUUAUUCCCUGAGGCACCACCAACACCAGGAGACCACUCCGCCACCCCACCACCCUGAGGCACACCAGUAGGCUUGGUACUCUCAGAAGAGAUCCCAAGACCACCAUCCCUGCGAAGAGAUGGAGAAGCGUCCCCCCAGAAAGAGAAAGUUUUAGAUCAUCCAUACCAGAAUGGCAGACUGGGGGAAUAACAGUCACUGCCCGGCUAUCCUCCAAUCUGGGCGGAAGACUAAGUACGACAAGGUUUUGCCAGGUGCUCUGAAGGGAUUGUUAAGGACACUGCAUUUUUUAUUGACCCAGUGCCACUCAACUCUUAGCACAAUACCUCACACCUUAGUUUGGGCAGGACGCUCUCUUAAUCUGGCCCCUUACCUUCGACCUGUCUGGCAUGGGAGACCCUACCAGUAGCAAAGUUACUGCCGGCAUAA
This 507-nucleotide long non-coding RNA is filed under the name Androctonus crassicauda. Lineage: Eukaryota; Metazoa; Arthropoda; Arachnida; Scorpiones; Buthidae. The record is from RNAcentral.